Oncorhynchus tshawytscha (Chinook salmon) is the source of this 2181-nucleotide long non-coding RNA. The record is from Ensembl. Lineage: Eukaryota; Metazoa; Chordata; Actinopteri; Salmoniformes; Salmonidae.
CCACUGUACAGGUUAAUCUAGCACCAGCUAGCAUGACAAACAGGUACAUGAUCAGAUACAUGAGUAUGACAAUUAAUGCACUUACGUUGGGCAGAGCGCCUCUUAAAGAACAGCAGUGCAGCAAGGAGUCCAAUGAUCAGAGAGCCUAUGACUGCAACCGGGGCUAGCCAUUUGGUGGUGGAGACAAUAUCCAAGUGGUCACUUUUAAUACCUGGACAGACAAAAUGGACAGAAAUUAGGAGUUACAAAAUAAAUAGGCAAUUCAUAUGAAGUCAAGAGAAAAAGUGUCACGACUUCCGCCGAAGUCGGCCCUUCUCCUUGUUCGGGUGGUGUUCGGCGGUCGACGUCACCGGCUUUCUAGUCACUACCGAUCCAUUUUUCUGUUUCGUUUUGUUUCGUCUGAUUACAUACACACAUGUUUUACAUUCCCUCCUUCUGUUCUGUCCGUGAUUGUUUAUGUCGUUGUGUUCGUGUUAGAGUUUUGUUUUAUGUUCCAUUUUGGAAUUUUGCUUUAUUCUUUAAGUAAAUUCAGUUGGAUUACUCCAUACCUGCGCCUGACUCCGCUUUCACUCUGCACCCAAUCGCUGACAGAAUCACGGACCAUUCAAAUGGAAUCAGCAGGUACAGCCAGCCCUUCUCUCCCAGUAGAGGAGCGAGUUCAGCAGCACGCGACCAUGUUAAACCGGCUAGGGCCAGCCAUGGAUCGCAUGUUGUAAACUAUGGACAGAUGGGAGAGGAGGCUUUCCUGUCAACGCUACUACACCUCCACCCGCGCCUCAACCUACACCGAUGUCCACCCCUCUGUCGUCAAGUCCCCGUGGAAUUCAGGCUCUUGCUCACAGGAGCCAGGGUAUCCUACUCCAGCUGGAGCUCUACCUGGCAGCUCUUCAGCCGGCACCUUCCGGACGUGAGAGAGUGGGCGCUCUCAUCUCCUGCCUGACUGGAAAAGCCCUGGAGUGGGCCAACGCCAUCUGGGGAAGGGAAGGUCCGACUCUGGAUGACUAUGAGGACUUCUCCCUCCGCUUCCAUCUGGGGAAGAGAAGGACCGACUCUGGAUGACUAUGAGGUCUUCUCCCUCCGCUUCCAUCUGGGGAAGGGAAGGUCCGACUCUGGAUGACUAUGAGGACUUCUCCCUCCGCUUCCAUCUGGGGAAGGGAAGGUCCGACUCUGGAUGACUACAGGACUUCUCCCGCCGCUUCCAUCUGGGGAAGGGAAGGACCGACUCUGGAUGACUAUGAGGACUUCUCCCUUUGUUUCAUCUAAGAGUUUGUUUCAUCUAAGAAAGGAGAUGAGGAGCGCUCAAGAGUUCGCACUGGACUUCCGCACUGGACUCUGGCAGCUGGUGCGGGAUGGAAUGAGCGGGCCCUGAUCGACCACUACAGGUGUAGUUUACGUGAGGACGUUCGAAUGGAGCUAGCCUGCAGGGACACUACUCUCAACCUGGACCAGCUGGUGGACUUGUCUAUCCGGCUGGAUAACCUGUUGGCCUCCCGUGGACGUCUGGAUUGGGGUCCGCCCGUUCCAUUACCCAGCACAUUGGAUCCCACACCUAUGGAGCUACGAGGGGGACCGGAGGGGGGACCAUUCCCUGCACCAGCUGUGGCCGCAGAGGGCACACUGCUGGUCGGUGCUGAGGGGGUUCUCCAGGAGGUCGAGGUAGCAGGCGGAGCACUGGUGGGUCAUCCCAGGUGAGUAGGCACACAACUCACCCAAAGCCCCCUGUUGCACACAUGUGGUUACCUGUAGAAUUUCCUGAGUUCUCCCCACAUUCCCAGCAUAAGGAGCUAGUAGAUUCAGGCGCAGCUGGGAACUUUAUUGACCGCUCCUUAGCACAUAGAUUAGGGAUCCCUAUUGUUCCUGUUGAUGUUCCUUUCCCUGUACAUGCCUUAGAUAGUCGUCCUUUGGGGUCAGGGCUAAUUGGCGAGGGGAUUGUGCGAUAGAUCUCUUGGUAGAUGCUGCACAUCCCAGGAGUCAUGUGUAUCCUCUGUCACAGGAGGAGACGGUGGCUAUGGAGACAUAUGUCACCGAAUCUCUGGGACAGGGAUACAUUCAACCUUCCAUCUCACCUGUCUCCUCAAGUUUAUUUUUUGUGAAGGAUGGAGGUUUGCGCCUGUGUAUUGAUUAUCGAGGUUUAAAUAAGAUCACGGUAAAAUACAGUUACCAGCUAACGCUCAUAGCCAG